CACCACUAUAUUGAUCAAGGAGCUGCUGAAGGGACACUGACUCCUGCAUAGCUCCCUCCAAGUGGGCGCUUUUUCUUUCCAUCAUGCAGAGGAAACUGCAGCCAUUGCUCUGUUUUGCUCUGUCCAAGAAGAAGCAGGAGCCGUCCACCUGAAAGCAGACUUUCUAGAAGACACUUCAAGAAAAUGAGAAAACAAGGCACACACAGGGAAGAAACACUUGCAAGACAUAUACAUAUCUGAUGAAGUAUUGGUAACUCAAAUAUGUAAGAGACUCUUAAGAAAACAAGAAACCCAAUAAAGAAAAAAAUGGGCAAAAGAUGUGAACAUGUUAUAAAAGAAGAUAUACAGAUGGCAAGUAAGUACUGGAAAAGAUGUUUCAUGAUUGGUCAUUAGGAAAAUGCAAAUUAAAAUGACAAUGAGAUAUCACUGCACACUUAGUAGAAGGGCUCAAAGGAAAAACAGUAACAACUGAUACUGUCAAAU
Long non-coding RNA from Eptesicus fuscus (big brown bat), 483 nucleotides. RefSeq lists it as uncharacterized. Lineage: Eukaryota; Metazoa; Chordata; Mammalia; Chiroptera; Vespertilionidae. The record is from RefSeq and is a predicted model, not a curated record. The transcript has 3 exons.